Molecule: small RNA, 885 nt
Filed under: Pongo abelii (Sumatran orangutan)
Lineage: Eukaryota; Metazoa; Chordata; Mammalia; Primates; Hominidae
Description: processed transcript
Source: RNAcentral
GGGAAGGCGGAGCUUGGACGAGCAGAGAGGCGGGGCUCAAAGUUCCUACCCGAGAGAGGGAAGAAGCAGGAGGUGCUCUGCUAAAACAAGUAUAAAAUGAAUGUCAGGAUGUUCUCCCUCAUGGUGGGCAUCUUCUCUGUCCUUAAUACCAGCCAGUUCUUCAUCUUUGACCUGAACCAGAAGACACACAUUUGCUGUGACGCCAAGUUCAGCAUCUACGUGGACUCAAAGUCGGAGCUAGUCACUUGGAUCCUGUUCCACAGGGCUAACAUCAGCACUGGCCUCUCCCUCACCACCAUCAUCAUCAGCUUCUUCCUCCUUUAUUGUAUCCACAAGAAUAUCUACAUGGGGCUUCUGAUCUAUGCCAUGUGGAUCAUCACUUACGAGCUCAUCAACUUCUCCAUAGUCCUGCUCCUCAACAGGAUCAUCAAAGAUCACUUCAAGACGCUGAGUUACUUGCACUGGAUCUUCCAAAUCUCACACAUGCUUCUGCACUUUUUCUGUCUGCCCUUCAUCGUCAAGCAUGCGUACAACCUUUACAAGGAAUCCCAGACCGUGAGCAGGAAACGCCGCCCUAGGCUCUCCUCCAACAUUGCAGUGAACUGAUGACUACCUGUCCGUCGGGGAAUGUUGUACCGGAAGUUAAACUGAACCAUGCCAGAUGCCAGGAAAGGUGGGAGGGAAUGGUGCUCCUCAACAAUGGAAUCCUCCCUACCCUGCCUGUCUUCUGUUGAUGCUGCUUGGUUUGUCAGGGCUUUUGAGUUUUAUGCACUAAGGAAUGAUUCUCGGGAGAGGGCAGGUUGUGCGGAUGAAUUAUUUUACAGAUGUGUUGUGUGACUUGUUUUAGCAGUUAAUGAUAUGUGGCCUUGUGCUUACCUAACCAUC